Molecule: ribosomal RNA, 1509 nt
Filed under: metagenome
Description: bacterial LSU rRNA
Rfam family: Bacterial large subunit ribosomal RNA
Source: RNAcentral
GGCCGAAAAUCUAAGGUUUCUUGGGGAAGGUUCGUCCGCCCAAGGUAAGCCGGGAGCUAAGGCGAGGCCGAAAGGCGUAGUCGAUGCACAUACGGUUGAAAUUCCGUAGCCACCUUAUCGUUAAAAGCUGACACAUAGAGAUAGCCGAACCCGGGCGUUGGUUGACCCGGGCGAAAGGGACCGAACUACAGUAGGGAAGUCGGCGAUGCUCUGUGGCGAGAAAAGGCGAAGAUAGGGUGCCCGUACCGCAAACCGACACAGGUAGAUGAGGAGAGAAUCCUAAGGCCAACGGGAGAAAGGUUGUUAAGGAACUCGGCAAAAUUGCCCCGUAACUUCGGGAGAAGGGGCGCCCUCGAAAGAGGGCCGCAGUGAAAAGGCCCAAGCGACUGUUUACCAAAAACACAGGUCUCUGCUAAAUCGAAAGAUGACGUAUAGGGGCUGACGCCUGCCCGGUGCUGGAAGGUUAAGAGGAGGACUUAGCGCAAGCGAAGGUCUGAAUUUAAGCCCCAGUAAACGGCGGCCGUAACUAUAACGGUCCUAAGGUAGCGAAAUUCCUUGUCAGGUAAGUUCUGGCCCGCACGAAUGGCGUAACGAUUUGGGCACUGUCUCAACAGCCUACCCGGCGAAAUUGUAGUACCGGUGAAGAUGCCGGUUACCCGCAACUAGACGGAAAGACCCCAUGGAGCUUUACUGCAGCUUAAUACUGAGAUUCGGUAAUUCAUGUACAGGAUAGGUGGGAGACUUAGAAACAGGGUCGUCAGGCACUGCGGAGUCACCCUUGGGAUACCACCCUUGGAUUGCUGGGUUUCUAACCUGCGGCCAUGAAUCUGGUCGGGGGACACUGUUAGGCGGGCAGUUUGACUGGGGCGGUCGCCUCCUAAAAAGUAGCGGAGGCGCUCAAAGCUUGGCUCAGCAUGGAUGGAAAUCAUGCAAUGAGUGUAAACGUAUAAGCCAAGUUGACUGCGAGACCGACGGGUCGAGCAGGUACGAAAGUAGGAGUUAGUGAUCCGGUGGUAUGUGAGUGGAAAUGCCAUCGCUCAACGGAUAAAAGCUACCCUGGGAUAACAGGCUGAUCUCCCCCAAGCGUCCACAGCGACGGGGAGGUUUGGCACCUCGAUGUCGGCUCGUCGCAUCCUGGGGCUGUAUUCGGUCCCAAGGGUUUGGCUGUUCGCCAAUUAAAGCGGCACGCGAGCUGGGUUCAGAACGUCGUGAGACAGUUCGGUCCCUAUCUGUUGCGGGCGUAAGAGAUUUGAAGGGAGCUGUCCUUAGUACGAGAGGACCGGGAUGGACUGACCGCUGGUGCACCAGUUGUCCUGCCAAGGGCAUAGCUGGGUAGCUACGUCGGGACGAGAUAAACGCUGAAGGCAUCUAAGCGUGAAACUCCCCCUAAGAUAAGAUCUCUCAUCCUUUAUGGAGUAAGGCUCGUCGUAGACUAUGACGUUGAUAGGUCAGAGGUGGAAGCGCCGUAAGGUGUGUAGCUGACUGAUACUAAUAAGCCGAGGGCUUGAC